GUCCACGCCGUAAACGAUGGGUGCUAGGUGUGGGGGUGUCGACUCCCUCCGUGCCGCAGCUAACGCAUUAAGCACCCCGCCUGGGGAGUACGGCCGCAAGGCUAAAACUCAAGGAAUUGACGGGGCCCCGCACAAGCAGCGGAGCAUGUGGUUUAAUUCGAUGCAACGCGAAGAACCUUACCAGGGCUUGACAUGCACUGGAAAGCCGUAGAAAUACGGCCCUCCUUCGGGACCAGUACACAGGUGGUGCAUGGCUGUCGU
Molecule: ribosomal RNA, 261 nt
Filed under: uncultured bacterium
Lineage: Bacteria
Description: partial 16S ribosomal RNA
Rfam family: Bacterial small subunit ribosomal RNA
Source: RNAcentral